UGUGCCUGCUGAUUUCCCAGACUGGGAGCCUCUGGCAGGCUGCCGGCUCCACAUGGAGAUGGGAGCAGAGUUAACUCCUUCAUUGCCACCAACGAGGUGCACAAACAAGGCUUGGAAAGGCCUGUGGUCCUUCUGUCUCAUUCUGGCUCUUGCUGAGUGCCUGAGGUCACAGGGUCACUUGUCCAAGGGAAAUUAGAUGACGUUUCAGCCUCUUGAGCAGACGUGAGCAGCAGUGACAGAGCAAAACCAGAAAUGGCAUCACUGAAAUCAUCCAGCACCUUUUCUGCCAGCCCCAAGGUGGAUGCCAAGCUCCCUCCAGAAGAACUAACUUCAGUGGAAGUGUGAAAGACAGUUGGAAACCCCCUUUUUAUUUUUA
Long non-coding RNA from Passer domesticus (house sparrow), 376 nucleotides. RefSeq lists it as uncharacterized. The record is from RefSeq and is a predicted model, not a curated record. The transcript has 2 exons. Lineage: Eukaryota; Metazoa; Chordata; Aves; Passeriformes; Passeridae.